This 591-nucleotide ribosomal RNA is filed under the name uncultured bacterium. Its description in RNAcentral is "bacterial SSU rRNA". It matches the Rfam family "Bacterial small subunit ribosomal RNA", at positions 338 to 946 of the family's 1533-position model. The record is from RNAcentral.
CCUACGGGAGGCAGCAGUGGGGAAUAUUGGACAAUGGGGGAAACCCUGAUCCAGCAAUGCCGCGUGAGUGAUGAAGGCCUUAGGGUCGUAAAGCUCUUUUACCAGGGAUGAUAAUGACAGUACCUGGAGAAUAAGCUCCGGCUAACUCCGUGCCAGCAGCCGCGGUAAUACGGAGGGAGCUAGCGUUGUUCGGAAUUACUGGGCGUAAAGCGUGCGUAGGCGGUUAUUCAAGUCAGAGGUGAAAGCCCGGGACUCAACCCCGGAACGGCCUUUGAAACUAGAUAACUAGAAUCUUGGAGAGGUCAGUGGAAUUCCGAGUGUAGAGGUGAAAUUCGUAGAUAUUCGGAAGAACACCAGUGGCGAAGGCGACUGACUGGACAAGUAUUGACGCUGAGGUACGAAAGCGUGGGGAGCAAACAGGAUUAGAUACCCUGGUAGUCCACGCCGUAAACGAUGAUAACUAGCUGUCCGGACACUUGGUGUUUGGGUGGCGCAGCUAACGCAUUAAGUUAUCCGCCUGGGGAUACGGUCGCAGAUUAAAACCGUCAAAGUGUAAUGACGNGNGAGNGNGACGACGACGACGACGAGGAG